ACCGUAGACAUGGUCGACUCGGGUCAAAGGUAGUAUCUGUUAUUAUCAGCUUAAUAACUGAUACGGGUUGUAUUUGGACCCAAGAUAUUAAACUUAGUUUUGCAAGUUGGCGGAGUGCUUGAAUCCUGCUUCACCUUCACCGCGAGUCGGCCCGAUAUUGCACAAUCGUCGGAGUUUUGGUCUACGGAC
RNAcentral lists this small nuclear RNA (189 nucleotides) under Dermacentor silvarum. RNAcentral describes it as "U2 spliceosomal RNA". It matches the Rfam family "U2 spliceosomal RNA". From Rfam's summary of the family: U2 is a small nuclear RNA (snRNA) component of the spliceosome (involved in pre-mRNA splicing). Complementary binding between U2 snRNA (in an area lying towards the 5' end but 3' to hairpin I) and the branchpoint sequence (BPS) of the intron results the bulging out of an unpaired adenosine, on the BPS, which initiates a nucleophilic attack at the intronic 5' splice site, thus starting the first of two transesterification reactions that mediate splicing. The record is from RNAcentral. Lineage: Eukaryota; Metazoa; Arthropoda; Arachnida; Ixodida; Ixodidae.